Molecule: transfer RNA, 72 nt
Filed under: Blumeria graminis f. sp. tritici 94202
Lineage: Eukaryota; Fungi; Ascomycota; Leotiomycetes; Helotiales; Erysiphaceae
Description: tRNA-Arg (TCG) (tRNA-Arg-TCG-1-1)
Rfam family: tRNA
About the family: Transfer RNA (tRNA) molecules are approximately 80 nucleotides in length. Their secondary structure includes four short double-helical elements and three loops (D, anti-codon, and T loops). Further hydrogen bonds mediate the characteristic L-shaped molecular structure. tRNAs have two regions of fundamental functional importance: the anti-codon, which is responsible for specific mRNA codon recognition, and the 3' end, to which the tRNAs corresponding amino acid is attached (by aminoacyl-tRNA synthetases). tRNAs cope with the degeneracy of the genetic code in two manners: having more than one tRNA (with a specific anti-codon) for a particular amino acid; and 'wobble' base-pairing, i.e. permitting non-standard base-pairing at the 3rd anti-codon position.
Source: RNAcentral
GGCCUGCUGGCCCAAUGGCAAGGCGUUUGACUUCGAAUCAAAAGAUUACAGGUUCGAUCCCUGUGCAGGUCG